Molecule: ribosomal RNA, 300 nt
Filed under: uncultured Syntrophaceticus sp.
Lineage: Bacteria; Bacillati; Bacillota; Clostridia; Thermoanaerobacterales; Thermoanaerobacterales Family III. Incertae Sedis
Description: bacterial SSU rRNA
Rfam family: Bacterial small subunit ribosomal RNA
Source: RNAcentral
GACGAGCACGUGCCGUGCAGCGGCGGGAUGACGUGGGUGGGAAGCGGUGUGCGGGAUGAUUGGGCGUAAAGGGCGCGCAGGCGGCGUCGUAAGGCGGUCUUAAAAGUGCGGGGCGUAACCCCGUGAGGGGACCGAAACUGCGAUGAUAGAGUAUCGGAGAGGAAAGCGGAAUUCCUAGUGUAGCGGUGAAAUGCGUAGAUAUUAGGAGGAACACCAGUGGCGAAAGCGGCUUUCUGGACGACAACUGACGCUGAGGCGCGAAAGCCAGGGGAGCAAACGGGAUUUGAUACCCCAGUAGUC